RNAcentral lists this ribosomal RNA (301 nucleotides) under uncultured bacterium. Its description in RNAcentral is "partial 16S ribosomal RNA". It matches the Rfam family "Bacterial small subunit ribosomal RNA", at positions 509 to 807 of the family's 1533-position model. The record is from RNAcentral.
CAGUAGCCGCGGGAACACGAAGGGUGCAAGCGUUAAUCGGAAUUACUGGGCGUAAAACGUGCGUAGGCGGUGAGUUAAGUCUGCUGUGAAAUCCCCGGGCUCAACCUGGGAAUGGCAGUGGAUACUGGCUCGCUAGAGUGUGUCAGAGGAUGGUGGAAUUCCCGGUGUAGCGGUGAAAUGCGUAGAGAUCGGGAGGAACAUCAGUGGCGAAGGCGGCCAUCUGGGCCAACACUGACGCUCAUGCACGAAAGCGUGGGGAGCAAACAGGAUUAGAUACCCCGGUAGUCCCUGUCUCUUAUAC